GACGAACGCUGGCGGCGUGCUUAACACAUGCAAGUCGAACGGAAAGGCCCUGCUUUUGUGGGGUGCUCGAGUGGCGAACGGGUGAGUAACACGUGAGUAACCUGCCCUUGACUUUGGGAUAACUUCAGGAAACUGGGGCUAAUACCGGAUAGGAGCUCCUGCUGCAUGGUGGGGGUUGGAAGGUUUCGGCGGUUGGGGAUGGACUCGCGGCUUAUCAGCUUGUUGGUGGGGUAGUGGCUUACCAAGGCUUUGACGGGUAGCCGGCCUGAGAGGGUGACCGGCCACAUUGGGACUGAGAUACGGCCCAGACUCCUACGGGAGGCAACAGUGGGGAAUAUUGCACAAUGGGCGGAAGCCUGAUGCAGCAACGCCGCGUGCGGGAUGACGGCCUUCGGGUUGUAAACCGCUUUCGCCUGUGACGAAGCGUGAGUGACGGUAAUGGGUAAAGAAGCACCGGCUAACUACGUG
RNAcentral lists this ribosomal RNA (468 nucleotides) under uncultured bacterium. Its description in RNAcentral is "partial 16S ribosomal RNA". It matches the Rfam family "Bacterial small subunit ribosomal RNA", at positions 28 to 507 of the family's 1533-position model. The record is from RNAcentral.